UACGUAGGGGGCAAGCGUUAUCCGGAUUUACUGGGUGUAAAGGGAGCGUAGACGGCGAUGCAAGUCUGAAGUGAAAGCCCGGGGCUCAACCCCGGGACUGCUUUGGAAACUGUAUGGCUGGAGUGCCGGAGAGGUAGGCGGAAUUCCUAGUGUAGCGGUGAAAUGCGUAGAUAUUAGGAGGAACACCAGUGGCGAAGGCGGCUUACUGGACCGUAACUGACGUUGAGGCUCGAAAGCGUGGGGAGCAAACAGG
This 253-nucleotide ribosomal RNA is filed under the name uncultured bacterium. Its description in RNAcentral is "partial 16S ribosomal RNA". It matches the Rfam family "Bacterial small subunit ribosomal RNA", at positions 524 to 776 of the family's 1533-position model. The record is from RNAcentral.